UACAGAGGGUACAAGCGUUGUUCGGAAUUAUUGGGCGUAAAGGGCGCGUAGGCGGUUCGGCAAGUCUCUAGUGAAAUCUCAGGGCUUAACUCUGAGUCUGCUGGGGAAACUGCCGGGCUUGAGUGUGGGAGAGGAGAGUGGAAUUUCCGGUGUAGCGGUGAAAUGCGUAGAUAUCGGAAGGAACACCUGUGGCGAAAGCGGCUCUCUGGACCACAACUGACGCUGAGGCGCGAAAGCUAGGGGAGCAAACAGG
RNAcentral lists this ribosomal RNA (253 nucleotides) under uncultured bacterium. RNAcentral describes it as "partial 16S ribosomal RNA". It matches the Rfam family "Bacterial small subunit ribosomal RNA", at positions 524 to 776 of the family's 1533-position model. The record is from RNAcentral.